This 208-nucleotide long non-coding RNA is filed under the name Elaeis guineensis (African oil palm). RNAcentral's name for it is "long non-coding RNA (EGUI_LNC035343)". The record is from RNAcentral. Lineage: Eukaryota; Viridiplantae; Streptophyta; Magnoliopsida; Arecales; Arecaceae.
UAUGGAUAUUGAACACUGUGUAUGAGAUUUUGUAUCUCUCCGCAUCCUCAGGGAUGAUGAAGGACUCAUUCAAUAUUUGAAUGAUCUCCUCAGGCUGCGCAUCCUCGAACUUAUGGCUAAGUUCGUCAUUCAUAACUGCCCUCAUCAUACAAUACAUAGUCAUGCGGUCAUUGAGCUACUUCAUGUAAGUGUCUCUCAUGGCACAAGG